This 861-nucleotide ribosomal RNA is filed under the name uncultured bacterium. RNAcentral's name for it is "bacterial SSU rRNA". It matches the Rfam family "Bacterial small subunit ribosomal RNA", at positions 8 to 916 of the family's 1533-position model. The record is from RNAcentral.
AGAGUUUGAUCCUGGCUCAGAGCGAACGCUGGCGGCAGGCCUAACACAUGCAAGUCGAACGGACCCUUCGGGGUUAGUGGCGGACGGGUGAGUAACACGUGGGAACGUGCCUUUAGGUUCGGAAUAAGCCCGGGAAACUGGGUCUAAUACCGAAUGUGCCCUUCGGGGGAAAGAUUUAUCGCCUUUAGAGCGGCCCGCGUCUGAUUAGCUAGUUGGUGGUGUAAUGGACCACCAAGGCGACGAUCAGUAGCUGGUCUGAGAGGAUGAUCAGCCACAUUGGGACUGAGACACGGCCCAAACUCCUACGGGAGGCAGCAGUGGGGAAUCUUGCGCAAUGGGCGAAAGCCUGACGCAGCCAUGCCGCGUGAAUGAUGAAGGUCUUAGGAUUGUAAAAUUCUUUCACCGGGGACGAUAAUGACGGUACCCGGAGAAGAAGCCCCGGCUAACUUCGUGCCAGCAGCCGCGGUAAUACGAAGGGGGCUAGCGUUGCUCGGAAUUACUGGGCGUAAAGGGCGCGUAGGCGGACAUUUAAGUCAGGGGUGAAAUCCCGGGGCUCAACCUCGGAAUUGCCUUUGAUACUGGGUGUCUUGAGUAUGAGAGAGGUGUGUGGAACUCCGAGUGUAGAGGUGAAAUUCGUAGAUAUUCGGAAGAACACCAGUGGCGAAGGCGACACACUGGCUCAUUACUGACGCUGAGGCGCGAAAGCGUGGGGAGCAAACAGGAUUAGAUACCCUGGUAGUCCACGCCGUAAACGAUGAUUGCUAGUUGUCGGGCUGCAUGCAGUUCGGUGACGCAGCUAACGCAUUAAGCAAUCCGCCUGGGGAGUACGGUCGCAAGAUUAAAACUCAAAGGAAUUGACGG